GACGAACGCUGGCGGCGUGCUUAACACAUGCAAGUCGAACGGAAAGGUCCUGCUUUCGUGGGGUUCCCGAGUGGCGAACGCGUGCGUAACACGUGAGUAACCUGCCCCUGACUUUGGGAUAACUUCAGGAAACGGGGGCUAAUACCGGAUAGGAGCUCCUGCUGCAUGGUGGGGGUUGGAAAGUUUCGGCGGUGGGGGAUGUACUUGCGGUUUCUCAGCAUGUAGGUGUGGUACUGGCUUACCAAGGUUUUGACGGAUAGCCGGACUGAGAGGGUGACCCGCCACAUAGGGACAGGGAAGCGAGCAAGGCUGAAUCGGGCGGAAGCAGUGAGAAAUAGACCAAAAAAGGCGGAAGCCUUGAAGAGCAACGCCGCGUGGGAGAUGACUGUCAUAGGGUUGUAAACAGCUUUCGGCUAAGACGAAGCGUGAGUGACGGUAAUGGGUAAGGAAGCAACGGCUAACUACGUG
RNAcentral lists this ribosomal RNA (468 nucleotides) under uncultured bacterium. Its description in RNAcentral is "partial 16S ribosomal RNA". It matches the Rfam family "Bacterial small subunit ribosomal RNA", at positions 28 to 507 of the family's 1533-position model. The record is from RNAcentral.